UUACUAUGUUUUCGACUUAUUCCUUUGGGGGGAAGUGACGGGCGGUAUGUACACUCCUUUUUACAAUAUUCAAGCUAUUUUAAUAAAAUAACCUUACUUUUAAAUUCAUUUAUUUUGUAUAUCAACAAAUUGAUUCAUCAAGAUUUUUGAUCCACAAACUUUCAAUACCAUAAUCUUCAUCUUUACCUGACUUAACAGCUUAAAACUGACAAAAUAAAAAUUUAUGCUUUUCUUUUCAGUCGGCGAUAUGGAGGAUGAGAGAACUAAGUGUAGUAAGAUUGGGGUGGAUUAUCCAUCAGGUCCAUGGAUCUCUAAUUUGAAAAGGGGCCGCCACAAACCAUAGUUAAUCUUUAGAAAAAAGUUAUAAGAAUAAUAGGGUAUCUAUUCCCUAGUUUA
RNAcentral lists this ribosomal RNA (396 nucleotides) under Liposcelis bostrychophila. RNAcentral's name for it is "partial 12S ribosomal RNA". The record is from RNAcentral. Lineage: Eukaryota; Metazoa; Arthropoda; Insecta; Psocodea; Liposcelididae.